Non-coding RNA from Eptatretus burgeri (inshore hagfish), 74 nucleotides. The record is from Ensembl. NCBI's taxonomy places the organism in Eukaryota, Metazoa, Chordata, Myxini, Myxiniformes, Myxinidae.
AAGUCAUGUAUGGGGGCCAUCGAAGGAGCGUUCACGUUGCGGUCCCUGUCAGGCUUCUGCCUGUGAAUCCUCCU